UGCCGGAUAAGUAUUGCAUUCGUACAUCGGGUUUUCAACUUGAAAGACUUUUAAGAUAAAAGAUUCGGUAA
RNAcentral lists this transfer RNA (71 nucleotides) under Anadara kagoshimensis. Its description in RNAcentral is "tRNA-Glu". The record is from RNAcentral. Lineage: Eukaryota; Metazoa; Mollusca; Bivalvia; Arcoida; Arcidae.